CCUACGGGAGGCAGCAGUAGGGAAUCUUGGGCAAUGGGCGCAAGCCUGACGCAGCAACGCCGCGUGAAGGAAGAAGGCUUUCGGGUUGUAAACUUCUUUUGAUAGGGAAGAGCAGAAGACGGUACCUCUCGAAUAAGCCACGGCUAACUACGUCCCAGCAGCCGCGGUAAUACGUAGGUGGCAAGCGUUGUCCGGAUUUACUGGGGGUAAAGGGCGUGUAGGCGGGCUGACAAGUCAGAUGUGAAAUCCGGGGGCUCAACCCGCGAACGGCAUUGGAAACUGUUGGUCUUGAGUAUAGGAGAGGCGGGCGGAAUUCCUGGUGUAGCGGUGAAAUGCGUAGAUAUUAGGAGGAACACCAGUGGCGAAGGCGACCUGCUGGACGACAACUGACGGUGAGGCGCGAAAGCGUGGGGAGCAAACAGGAUUAGAUACCCGAGUAGUC
This 442-nucleotide ribosomal RNA is filed under the name uncultured bacterium. Its description in RNAcentral is "partial 16S ribosomal RNA". It matches the Rfam family "Bacterial small subunit ribosomal RNA", at positions 338 to 795 of the family's 1533-position model. The record is from RNAcentral.